RNAcentral lists this unclassified non-coding RNA (136 nucleotides) under uncultured fungus. RNAcentral describes it as "sequence contains ITS1". The record is from RNAcentral. Lineage: Eukaryota; Fungi.
CCAAGAAUAUGUCGGUCACGAGGUGGCGGAAGCGGAAUUGCUCGGUCAUUUGGACUACCUCAACCAAAGGGAAUUUAUCAAAGCGGAUUUUAGUGGACAGCCUUACGGAGGAGCUGAGUUAUUGCCGCCUUUAGUG